GGUCCGCUUUCCGAGGGCACUUGAGGAGGACGAGGGGGGCGCCUGGGUGGGGGACUUCUUAACAAAGUGAAGGGCUCUGGUGCUCUGGGGUUCGAUUCGGGAGGCCAGCGGCGUCAGACGCGCGCUGUCCCUGGUGCACAGCCUGGCUCUCUCACUUCCCACUCUGGGGCGCGCGAUCGGGGUAUCUCUUAACAGGAUGCUCGGGACGGGCAUGUGCUGGAAACUGUUUAUGUUGAAUUUAGUUACACGUGGAUUUUCUUUCGUGGAGUACUGACUUGUGUACUAAGGAUGGCCAUUGCUGUGGCUGGAAGGCGGAUGCGUCCCCAUCGUAGGUACAGUCAGGCUCCUACCUGAGCCCCUCGCCCCAGUGACCCUGCAAGCACAGCAUGCUGUGCCUCCAGACGGCCCAGAGGCCAUCUCUCCCAGACCCCAAAUCCCAGCAACCGUGAAGGAAGAAGUGAAGGACUCCGGUCAUUCAAAAAAGAAAAAGAGGGACGAGGUACAGGGAGACAGUGCCUUGACGUUUCUUACUUAUUUUUUAAAACCUCCACAAAAGCCCCUACUACAAAAGUACUGGAUGCUAAGGCUAUAGACCCCCAACACCUAGUCCCGCCUCCCAGCGGCCGCCCUCUCCAGAUUUUAAAGGGUUAGAAAGCAGGGUUGGAACUCCUUGGGACUGGCAAGGGCCCAGGGAGGACCGCAAGGGAGCCUCCUCGACGCCCAGACAAGCGUUGCACCGUUUCCCCAGGACUGGCCUGGCGUGCAAAGCAACUGGGUGCUGCGUUCUGGGAGUCGGACCGUUUCUGAUCUUCUCCUCAAACAGGCAGUGCCUGUGACAUUGAAUUCCUCUCGUAAGAAUGCCGGGCCCUGGUUCUUUGCUCUCCCUCUCACCAACAAGAGCUAGGAAGUAGAGCGCUUUUCACCAAGUAGUAACUGUAUUUACAGAGGGCGUGGCCUUCGCAGAAAAGGCCACCUUUUUGCAUCUUGACCGAGGUUGAUGACUCUGCAUCUUGACCGAGGUUGAUCACACCUGUGUUAAAUGUUUUCUUUGUGCAAGCAAUCGAAUGGGGGCUGUAGCGUGAUUGGUGAGGGUCAGGACAGUUGCCGGGAGAGUUUUUGUAACACACUUCGUGAGUGAAGAGUCUGGGAGGCGUCUUUUCAACAAACCUCAGCGGAAAACCCAGAAAGGCGCUCCGAGUGGAGGGAAGGUGUGGCCAGGCGGGGUCCCGGGGCAGCAGGAGGGACCCACGGGUGGAUGCUGGCCUCGUUCUCUACUUUGCAGUUUGAGUUUCCAUUUUGCAGGGGUCUAGUCUCACUCGCAUAGAUGAAGAGCUAAGCUUCCACAGAGCGGAUAUGCACCUCUCUCCCCGCCAGCUUGAAAAGCGAUUUGGGAAAGGGAUUCUUCAGGUGCCUUACACACAGAGGGUGUCACUGCUCAGGGAUCAUCUCUGUAUCCUAAGCGCUUGGCACUGUGCCUGGCACAUUUACUAUUUGUGAAUUGGAAGCUAGUGACCGAGUUAACAAAGGGCUUUUAGCAUGAAGCGUGAUUUAUGGUCCUCAGUGCAGACCGGGGAGGGGUCCUGGGGAGUGGCACUAAGGUUAAAGGCCGCUCUGCUCCCUCCCAGUCCCUCUAUCCACCGUCCUCCUCGCCACUGUUCCUGGAGGAUGGACACCCUCUUCCCCAUCCCCCAUCCCGCUCUCCAAGGGACAGCAGCUCACUGUGACUGUUGGAAGAGUUAGGCAUGUGGUUCCCUGCAGCCAGCUCGGUCCACUCUGUGACUUGGCACCAGUGGCGGAAUGAAGUGCCAGCAGCGAUUGCCUGCGACCUUGCCCUGAGCAUAGGCUCUUGCAGGUUGGGCUCCCUGGACUCAGCUCACCUGCCUCCAAGCCCCGCGGAUGCUGGGGUUGGGGCCUGUCAGUCCUACUAAAGGUUGGUGGCCUAUGCUAAAAACUCCUUCAGUAGGGCUGUAGUACUCUGCCCUCCCAAGGGGAGCUGGCCUGGUUCACAGCACUCCCAGCUUGGGUUGCUGGGCACAGGGGCUCGGGGCGGUGACUCGCAGCCAGGGUGGAGGUGGGGGGACUGGGGUCUGGAUUCAGCCCUGCCUCUCACCACUGGGACCCCCACCGAGCUUCUUCUGUGGUGCCCGCACACUGUUCACCUCCUGCUGGCUGGCUUGUGCCCCAGGGCAGGCUGGGGGCUCCCGCUGCCUGAGUCCACUUUGAUCCUGGACUUUCUGGGAGGAGCUCGGCUUCCAGGGGCGACAAGAUAAUAACCUUGGCCAACAUGCAAACUGCGUCUUGCCUCGGGGACAGCUGAGUCUGCCCAGGAGAUCCUGGGGCUGCCUUCUUUAUCCAGCUCAUUCUUCAGGACUCCCACACCUCUCUGGGUUCAGGGAGACUAACCUGGGUGUGCGAGUGUGUGCAUGACUGUGUAACAGUUUGUGUGAAUGUGAGUUUGAGUGCAUAAGUGUGAGUGUGCACAUGUGUUAUGAGUAUGUGUGAGUGUGAGUAUGAGUGUGUAGGGGGUUAGAAGGUAGUGGUCCCCCUUGCUCAGCCUGGAACCUGUUGCUUUCCCCUGCCCUAGGAAAAGCCUCAUCCAGGAGAAAGCAGAGGAGGUGGACUGGCCCCUGGCUGGAAGAGAGCCUGAGCUCCCUGGGAGACCUGACCCUAGUGACCUCCUCACGUGUUGGGUGCUUAGAAAAGAUAACCUGCAUUCUGGAAAAUUAUUGACAUCUUCUAAUCAUGAUACUUACUUACAGGGAUGAAAGAGGGCUGAGCAGAUAUGCCACCUUAUUUGAGCAUUUGAUUCUUUUCUGCAAGAAGUGGAGAUUUCCAAGGUUAUUGGAGGGUUCUGGUCUGCCUACUCCCAAGGUGCUGCUAAGUCAAAUAUUCAGGUUUCUCUCCUGCGCAUAGUGAGUGCAAAGGUCUGCUUGCCAUUAGAAUCGAUUUUACAUUUUAGCCAUCUAUUUUUAUAUCUGGAAAAGGCAGCCUUCAAAGCUAAGCCUUUGUAGAAGCUUACAUAUUUUCCUUUAAGCUCAUUUCUUUAAUACUGAUGUUGAAAUUUUCCUGCACAGAGAUUCCUAGUGUUUUUACUUAAUGAUAGAUGUUAAAAAUUAACUGCUAUUGUGUUUAAUAUAAUGGUUACAGAUUUUUUUUCUUUUUCCGUAUAAGAUAAAUUUUAAGAGAAGUGAUAAGUGAACUCAGGCCUCUUCAAUGCAGAUGUUAUGUGAUUCGUGAGUGUUAAAAGCAAAACAAAACCAUAAUAGAAUAUGUUAUUUACCAUCCAAAAUGAACAUCCUGUGAUGGAUAUGCAUAUAGUCAUAGCCACCAAAAACUUUAAAUAUCUCCCAAAUUAUCUGUGACUAGUUGCUAAGUCAUCUGAUUUUUUUUCUUACACAUAAUACACAAAAAGGUAAAGACUUUCCAUAUUAUGCAAUCUCUAAUAAUUAUAACUGAUAAUUAUUGAACAUUUUACACAUAUUUUACGUUUAGUUUCUUUCAACAGGAUUCUACUAUACCACCCGUCUUUAGGUAUAUGAUUUGAGAUUUUUUCGGUCAAGAAUGCACUGGUGUAUUUGUUUUUAACUGAUGUUCCUGACUAUUUUAUUCCAUCUUGCCCAGUGUUGCCUGGAGUUCCCUAAUGUCUUGCCUGGAAGAAAUGACUUACAUAUUUUCAGGGGGAAGAAAGGGGAAGCCUUGCUUGGGGGAACAGGGGAUUAGAGAUCAUGGCUGCCCGUCCCCUAAAACAGGCAAUCAGAGCUUAGGAAAGAGCAGAGCAGAAAAGGGGACUGUGUCCCACAAACAAGAAUCAACCAAUCAACUAGUGCUCUGAAAAACAAUAUUCCAAUCCAGAAAGAAUCUCUAAAACUCCCUUUAAGGAUAGUUGGAUUAAAAUGUGAGUAAAAAUUUGGGCUCAUUUUUGAAAUAUAUUAGAUAUGGCUAUCUAAUCAUAAUUUUCUCUUUAUAGCAUGAUGUAUUUUCCUGUGUAAUAUAUAUCAUUUUGAAAUCACACUUCCACACAGUCCAAGAAUUACAAAUGGAGCUAAUGUCUAUGUGAUCAGCAUUGGCCUCCCCUAUUGCGGUGGCUGUAGCUCUCAGUGGUAGGUGGCUGCAGCUGCCAAAGGAUUCAUGGAAGGCAUUUAAGAAAGUAACUUGCUUUUCUGUCACACUUUCUCAGCCUUAUAUAAGUAGAUACUAUUUAUCAAGUUCAGAAAUGAAAAAAGGAACAGUGGAAAGGAUUGGAAAUUUAGAGCUUAUUUCUAAAAUAAAAUAUUUCAUCCACACAGACGGGCAUGAGCAUGUUGUCUCCUGAGCUGUGGGUGCUGCAGCUAUGUGUCCGUCCUGUUGCUUUGUAAGUGUGUGUGUUUCUUUACGGGUGAUGUGUGUUUGUUCGUAGUCAGAGAUAAGCAGAUGGCUUUGGACUUCACCUUUGAGGAAGGAUGGUGUUGCCACUGGGCAGUUUAAGAGACUCUCAUUGACCUCAUGGCUCUGCCCUUCACUGUAUGAUUGUGGAGUUCCUUUUGUUUGUUUCUCUUUUCUUUCUGUAAAAUGGUAAAUAACAUAUUCUAUUAUGGUUUUGUUUCGCUUUUAACACUCAAGAAUUACAUGCAUGGUUGUGAGAUAGUGUGCACAGCACACCUUGUAUAAAGCCUGACACACAGCAGGCGCUGCCUUACCUUUAUGAAGAUGAGCAGAGAGCAGAAUGCUCAGGCGAUGUCUCAGUCAAAAUUAACAGACUAGGAGGUAAGAGCAUGGGCCAGGAGAAGGCUGAUCUGAGGAUGUGGGAUUCACGGGAAGGCAACUUAGUGCCUUCCUAGAGCCAAAUUAUGUGAGAGAGAGAGAGUGAGAGAGAGAGAGAGAGAGAGAGAGAGAGAGAGUGUGUGUGUGUGUGUGUGUGUGUGUGUGUGUGUGUGUGUUAGAGAUUUUUAGUUCUCAGGAUUUUUCUCACCAGUUUUACUCAAUAUUCCAAAUCUGCAGUUGCAUUUUUCUGAUUAAUAGGACUUAAAAACAAUAUUUAGAACAAUUACAUAUUGUUCUCACUAGAUCAAUACUGUUAACGUUUGCUUUUGUUUUUCAGCACCAUUUUUGUAGUCUUUAUUUAAUGUGAUUUUAUUUCUAACAUGUCAUUUUCCUUUUGGGUUCUUGUGCUACUAACAGUGAAUUGUAUGUGAAGUUAUGUAGUAAUGAUGUGUAUAAUAUGCUUUUUUGCAUAAAUAUUCAGGAGAACUUAGAAUAGCAUAAGCCAUCUGGAUAUUGAAGAACAAUUGAUGAAGAACAAUAUGAUACCAUGUGUAUAAUCUACAACAUUACAGCUUAUAAGAUUUUUGAUUUAAACCGUUGUCUUGAGGACAUGGAAUCAGUCAAAAAAAAAUCCCAUUGAACUGAGGCUAAAAACAAAAAUAUUGGAAAACUUUUUCUUUUUCUUUUUUCUUUUUUUUGAGACGGAGUCUUGCUCUGUCACCCAGGCUGGAGUGCAGUGGCGUGAUCUUGGCUCACUGCAAGCUCCGCCUCCUGGGUUCAUGCCAUUCUCCUGUCUCAGCCACCCGAGUAGCUGGGGCUACAGGUGCGUGCCACCACACCCGGCUAAUUUUUUUGUAUUUUUAGUAGCGACGGGGUUUCACCAUGUUAGCCAGGAUGGUCUCGAUCUCCUGACCUCGUGAUCCCCCGACCUUGGCCUCCCAAAGUACUGGGAUUACAGGUGUGAGCCACCGUGCCCGGUCCUUUUUUUUUUUUUUUUUGCGAUAAUCUCACUCUGAUGCCUAGGCUGCAGUGCAGUGGCACGAUCUCGGCCCACUGCAACCUCCACCUCUGGGGUUCAAGCGAUUCUUCUGCCUCAGCCUCCGGAGUAGCUGGGAUUACAGGCGUGCACCACCCCAGUCCGCUAAUUUUUUGUAUUUUUAGUAGAGAUGGUGUUUCACCAUGUUGGCCAGGCUGGUUUUGAACUCCUGACUUCAAGUGAUCCUCUGCCUUGGCCUCCCAGAGUACUGGGAUUACAGGCGUGAGCCACUGCGCCUGGCCUGGAAAACAUUUUUUAAAUGUUUGGCUGUCAGUCGAGGUUUGUCAUAUUCCUCAGAGCUUCCACUUGACCUUCCAGACCUGUCUAGGACGUGGCAAAAUCAAAAUGAUGAGAAGUACAUACUCAACAUCGUGAAAAGCCCGUCAGAGACACAGUGUCUAAUAAUUUCAUAAUUUCUUAACUGUCUAGUGAUUAUCUAAUAGGCAUAGAAAAUUUAGCUAAAUUAUUUUUAAAAUUUAACAGCAACGUAUAGCUUUGCAUUUUUUCAAUGUGUUGUUGGGUUUUUAAAAGAAAAUAUAUGUAACAGUUACCAGCUUAUAAAAUGUUUUCAUUGCACCUGCAGCAUAUACAUAUAAGUUUUAUUUGCCUUGCUUUAUCAUAUAGGAUGGUGAUGUUUUCUGAUUAUGACUUGCUAUUUUUAAAUUCCCCUUUUGUGCCGUACUGUUUGGGCACAAUUCUGCAUUAAACUAGGAUAUUGUGGAUGGACAUAUUUAAACUCCUUUUGUAUAUGAACUUGCAAAUUAUAAAUAUAUUUUAUAAAAAAGGGAUGGAUUUGGUCUAUCUAUGAGGUUAGUUCUGCAGAAACUACUUAGGCUUUCUGUGGCCAUUUCACCAGUCACCUGGAGGGGGAAGCUUCUGCUGAGAUCUUCACUGCUCUCUUCAGGAGUGAUUUCAUUCUGCAACCCAAACUCAGGUUAUUGUCGCCUCAGUAUUGUCGCCAACUCUGAACUCUCCACCCCACUUCAGAUUCAACUUGGUCAACACCAAGCAUCCUGUCUCCCCGGGGCCUUCUCUGGUGUGCUCAGAAGAGUUCUAGGUCAAGUGAACAAGCCGUUCGUCUGCUCCUUAGCCUGCACAUUUGUGACGAGACUGUGGGUGCCACUGCUGCCUUGGGUGCAAGUGCUGUCCACACCAAGCACCUUGUUCAAGGGCACGCUUCUAAGUUUUGCCCUUAAGUUUUCAUCUCGGUCCACAUACGUGUUGCGUGGCUCUACAUUCUGUGCGCCCCGCAGCAUGCAGAACCUCAAGCCUCCAACCUGGCCUCUUGGACUCAUUCCAUCUUUACCCUGUGUGGUGCUAGAUGUGCCUUCCCCUGCCCUAAGCCCCCCAGAAUCUUCUUCCGAGAAGCAUAGUUGGGGCUUUUCUCAGUGGGCAAUUACAUUCCAGCCUUAACCUUGGUCAAACCAGUCAAUCCACUGUUGCCAUUCUUCCUUAAAUACACCACUUGGUCAUUAGCCCAACAGGCUUGUAGUCCUGACUGGCGGCAAAUAGGCUCUUUUCUCCAGUUGAUAGAAGGCCCCGUCAGCCAGUUCUAAGCAAAGACAAUUCUGUUCUUCUUGAGUUCUGUUUUCCAUGUAGGUUUCUCAGCAUAAUGAUGCUUAGAUAAGACAAACUUAGUCUGUCUCCCCUGAUAGUCAAGAUGUAGGUGAUUGGAGCGGGUAUGUUAACUCUGCUUAUUAAAGUUUCCCAGGGCCGCAGCCAUACUCUUCCAUCCCACAUGGGUUGCACUCAUCUGCAUGGGUCAAGACAGCCUGUUACCAUGUCCACAUCAAGCUGAAGGCUGGAGGUAGGAGAUGCAGAAGGAACACUCCUUCCCCACCCUCUACGGGUACAGCCAGGAAGCUGCAAGAAUCACUUCUGCUCACAUCCAGUUAGCCUGAGUGUAGGAAUCUUCUCCACCUACCGUACUGUAAAGGAAGCUGGGAAAUGUCAUUCUUAUUUUGGUGGAUAAUGUGCUCAGCUAAAAUGGGAAAAGUCGGUCUGUGGCCAUGACAGAGAGUGGAUAUUAGCAUGCAAUAACAGUAUCAUCUGUGCCUCCUGUGGUUGAAGGUACCUUAGUGUGCCUUGCAGACACCACUGACAUUUUUCUGAGGAUCUACACUAACACCCAUCUUUGUUUCUAGACCUUAGCUAGACUCAAGUCCCUAAGCAUCUAAAGAUGAGGCACAAAGUAUGACCCAUGAGAUCUAUACUCCAAAAUAACAUGAUUUUCUCAAUUUAGACAUAAAUUAGAGGAAAGUGUGUGGGAAUGGGUAUUAGGGUGUGGAAUAAUGAUGCAAGGAACAUGAAAUUGGAUCUGGUCAGUGUUGUACCUCCAGGGCUUAGAAAGGGCUCUGACAGUUUGGUUGGUGGCGGAAACAGGCACCAAAAGGUGGCCUACACUAAAUGAAGUUGAAAUGCCAGAGCUACCUUGGUAUGCUGUAGUGGAAGGGAUCCAGAGGCUUAGGGAGAUUGGGAUGUUACAGUGGAUUUAUCAUAAAAGAUCUGCUCAUCCACCUUGGGAGGGUGCAGAGGACACACUUUCACCAGAAGUAUGGGGAAAAAAAUUUUUGAAGGGAGCCUCAGGUGUCCAUGAAGAGCUCUGGGGCUGCUCUUCUCUGCAGGUCAGAGAUUGCAGUGGAAGCUGCUGCCACUGACUGGGGGUCCUUAACUGCAUUGGGGAUGGUUGGAUCCCAGGUGGCAGGGGCCAUGUGAUCACCAAAGACCAGGUGGGUGCAUUGCCAUCAUGGAGAACAGCAGAGUCAAAGCAGCAAUCUGAACAGCCUGACUUGAGAGUCCUACGGCAUUGGGUAGGUGGUCAUGGUGUCCCUAGAAGAGAACUCGAUGGGCAGUCUACUGAAUUCUGACUCGAUCUGUAUAAGCAGAAGAGUUCUAGAUCAAGUGAACAGAAGUCUAUCUUGACAUACCAAAAGAAAGAGUCACGGUCCCUCAAUCACUUCCCAGAUUUGAGUCCCAGAACCCGUUAAAGGAAGGGGAGGCCGGUGACCCUACUACACUGCUGAUUACAUUUUUAUUUUAUUUCUCCCAACCCAUUUCUUUGAGUAACAAGUGUCUUCAUUUGAAGUGUAAAUAUCUGUGGAAAGAUAAAAUGGCUAUUUAUUACCCAUAUAUUAGGUCAAAUAGCUUAUUUGCUCCCAUCGUCUAGGUGGGAUGGGAUGGACAUUUUAAAUAAAUGGGAGAGAGAGUAUUUACAUUGUGGGUACAGGUAUGAUCUAGAUGCCCAUAUAUUUAUUAGGGCGUCAUAAUAUCACUGGGCAAUUAGGGGCUUAUCAAGAUGACUUCCAACACAGAAAGUAGCACAUCUUUCUCAGGGCCUGCUCUACACACCAGAAACAAUACAAAAAUUCUUUCUCUUCCUCCUUCUUUUAUUUGCAUUAUAUGGUUUCUGAUGUUCAAGGUGAAAUGUACUAUCUUGACUAAGAGCCCCAGGUCUAACGCCAGAUUAUUUGAGUACUGAUCUUGGCUCUGUCAUUCAGCUGUGUGACCUUGUUCAGAUUGACCCCUGUUUUUGAGAUAUUUCAUCUGGAACAAGGUAAUAAUAGAACAUAGCUCAGAGGAUUGUUGCAAACCUUAGAUGUCAGUGCUUAUAGAGUGCUUCGAGCAGUGCCCGACAUACGGUAAAUACUCAAUAAAUAGUUGCUUUUAUGAAUAGCUCCAGAUACAGAAGUUAGGCACGAUUAUGAGUAAAACAUUGGCUAGUGUGAGUUCCUUCUCAUCGAGAGCAGCACAGUUUCAAUGGGCAGAUAACUUAGAGAACCAAUCAGCUUACGAGAAGCUUUGGAACAUGACCUGUUGAAAGUUGAGAAUGGUCUUGUCUUUGCCGUCUUCUCCCCAAUCAGAUACAUCAGACAGCCUCUGUGCUAUGGUUCAUGGUUACCUUUGAAACAACGUGACAUCUUUUCUCCUUUAAUUCUCCUUCCCAGGCAGAAGGAUUUGUUCCUUCUGUGCUCACCCGCCACUUUGCAUACUCAUUACAGAAUGUUGUAUUAAUAUUCAGUUGUAGGAGCACUGUCUUGCCUUCUAUGUGUCUGUAGGUUCAGGGACCUUGUAUAGUCCUUGUUGAUAUCCCCAGCACGGAACUUACUCCUCAAUAUACAGAUAGCAGCUAUUUCAAAACAUCUUUUGAGCUGGGUGUGGUGGCUCACGCCUGUAAUCCGAGCACUUUGGGAGGCUGAGGAAGGUGGAUCACCUGAGCUUAGGAAUUCGAGACCAUCCUGGGCAACAUGGGGAAACCUCGUCUCUACUAAAAUACAAAAAUUAGCUGGGUGAGGUGGCACACGCCUGUAGUCCCAGCUACUCGGGAGGCUGAGGCAUGAGAAUUGCUUGAGUCCCAGAGGCAGAGGUUGCAGUGAGCUGAGAUUGUGCCACCGUACUCCAGCUUGGGCUACAGAAUGAGGCUUGCUCUCAAAAAACAAACAAACAAAACUACAACAACAACAAAAAAAACACUAUAUCUUUUGGAUUGUAGGUUUUUCAAAUUGUGAACAUAACCUCUGAUCAUUACACUUCAGCUACCCAGCAAGGACUAUAACACACAGGAACACUGAAGAAAUAUUUACCAAUUGACUAAAACAUUCACUGACUAAUUUUUGUUUUGAACAUCUCAGAAGUCUGAAAAUAGAGUUAGGUCUAGUUUCCUAUAGCGAUUGGUUUUUAAGUCUUUGAAUAUAAAAUUUAUAACAGCCUAAUAUAUACUCUGUGACUUUCAUAAAUGUGAAUUGUAUCAGGAUGGCAAUUAACACCUUUUACUUGCUUUGCAGGGAACAGAGAAGGAAAAACCCAUUUGACAAUGGGCAGCAGUUUGGCCACAGGUGCAGAAAAGGAAGAAGGAUGAAGACCCUUAGCAAGCUGGUAAUCUUGAACUGAAGCACCACGGAAGUGAAUUAGAGAGAUGGGCAGAGUUGGGCCGUCCCUGCUCCUGCCAUCUCCCUCCUGCUGCUUUCCCUGGACUGUCCCUGCCGGGCAGCACUGCCUUUGGCAUUGCUGCAGGUACACGGACCCCUGCUAGGGAACCUAGGCAGCAUGCAGGUUGGAAAGGGCCCAGGUUUGAAGGUCUAACGAACAAAUCUGGAUCCUGUUCAUAACGAGCUAUGCGACUUUGCCAAGUUACAGAAACUCUCUGUUUUUCAAUUACAUCAUCUCUAGAAUGAGGUGUUCAAGGCUAAGAAAUAUUUUCACAAUUCUCAGGGUAAUAUUUCUGCACAUGCCUUUUUUAAUAUUAAAAGGUAUGGCCAUAAAUCACUGCUUUUUAACCUACGGGCCGGAAUUUUUAUAUCUAAAUCGCUCUGGCCUCCUUAAUAACCAUCGUAUGUACAUACACUUAGGACUUGCCCUCAAAGAAAGGUUAGGAACUGCUAAGAACAAUAAUUUUUUUUUACCAUGUUAGAGAUGUGGUUCAGGAUUUUACAAAACAGUUGAUUAUGAAGGAGAGACAUUCUAGUUUAGGCUUUGAGCUUCUAAUAUUUCGAUGAUCCUCCCUCACCUGCUCCUAAUACAGAAUCAUGGAGACUGUGCACACCAGUGAUGGGAAUAGCAUGAACAAGAUGUGUGAGCAUGUUUAGAUUCGAAUUGGCUUUCUGUAUCUGCAGAAAUAAAGGAGCUUCAUCACCCAUA
This is a long non-coding RNA of Homo sapiens (human), 11410 nucleotides long. RefSeq lists it as uncharacterized. The record is from RefSeq and is a predicted model, not a curated record. NCBI's taxonomy places the organism in Eukaryota, Metazoa, Chordata, Mammalia, Primates, Hominidae. The transcript is spliced from 2 exons.